ACAACCCAACAACUGGACAAGAAGAUGAUAUCAGAAGAGAAAGGAGACUUCAGGGUUCUGCUGUCACCAAAAUGUGCUUCACUGACUCCUGAAGCAAAGACAGGACUUCAAUGGGGUUUGGAAACAUCUCAUACCACAUGGAAGGUGGGAAAAUCUUCUGUAUCAUUUAUGCCUUACUGGAGAUUCUCCUCUUUGGUUUUCUGCUGGCUGGAGUCAGAGAUCAACUAGGAACCAUAUUUGGAAAAGAAAUUUCCAAAGUGGAAGACAUGUUUACUUAAUUUUCCCUGCAAGCAACCAUUUUCCUAUUUUCAUAACAUGAAUGAUGUUACUGGAAACAUCACCGGAUAAGAG
Long non-coding RNA from Jaculus jaculus (lesser Egyptian jerboa), 351 nucleotides. RefSeq lists it as uncharacterized. The record is from RefSeq and is a predicted model, not a curated record. Lineage: Eukaryota; Metazoa; Chordata; Mammalia; Rodentia; Dipodidae. The transcript has 3 exons.